GGGGCUGCGAUGAUUAUAAGAAAUUCCUCGUACUGAAUUUUGCCUAAUUUCGGCAUGACAGACUCUUUCUACACCCAUAGAAUCUGAGCUCC
Molecule: non-coding RNA, 92 nt
Organism: Jatropha curcas
Lineage: Eukaryota; Viridiplantae; Streptophyta; Magnoliopsida; Malpighiales; Euphorbiaceae
Source: Rfam